This 21-nucleotide non-coding RNA is filed under the name Rattus norvegicus (Norway rat). Lineage: Eukaryota; Metazoa; Chordata; Mammalia; Rodentia; Muridae. The record is from RNAcentral.
CUUGCCUUCUGCUCUCCCUUG